GAUUAACGCUGGCGGCGUGCCUAACACAUGCAAGUCGAACGAGGUAGCAAUACCUAGUGGCAGACGGGUGAGUAACGCGUGGUCAACCUACCGUUGAGUGGGGGAUAACUAGCCGAAGGUUAGCUAAUACCGCAUACGUCUCCGAGUGGCAUCACUUGGCGAUAAAAGGAAGCAAUCCGCUCGAUGACGGGACCGCGUCCCAUUAGCUAGAUGGUGGGGUAACGGCCUACCAUGGCACCGAUGGGUAGCUGGUUUGAGAGAGCGACCAGCCACACUGGGACUGAGAAACGGCCCAGACUCCUACGGGAGGCAGCAGUGAGGAAUUUUCCGCAAUGGCGCAAGCCUGACGGAGCGACGCCGAGUGUGGGAAGAAGGCCUUCGGGUCGUAACC
This 391-nucleotide ribosomal RNA is filed under the name uncultured bacterium. Its description in RNAcentral is "bacterial SSU rRNA". It matches the Rfam family "Bacterial small subunit ribosomal RNA", at positions 28 to 430 of the family's 1533-position model. The record is from RNAcentral.